Molecule: transfer RNA, 62 nt
Filed under: Ictidomys tridecemlineatus (thirteen-lined ground squirrel)
Lineage: Eukaryota; Metazoa; Chordata; Mammalia; Rodentia; Sciuridae
Description: Spermophilus tridecemlineatus (thirteen-lined ground squirrel) tRNA
Source: Rfam by way of RNAcentral
UGUAGCUCAGUGGUAAGAGCGCUUGCCUUGCAUGUGUGAAUCGCUGAGUUCGGUUCUCAGCA